AUUGAACGCUGGCGGCAGGCCUAACACAUGCAAGUCGAACGAGUGGCGGACGGGUGAGUAAUGUCUGGGAAACUGCCCGAUGGCGGGGGAUAACUACUGGAAACGGUAGCUAAUACCGCAUACCAUCGGAUGUGCCCCGAUGGGAUUAGCUAGUAGGUGGGGUAAUGGCGCACCUAGGCGACGAUCCCUAGCUGGUCUGAGAGGAUGACCAGCGACACUGGAACGGAGACACGGGGCAGACUCCUACGGGAGGCAGCAGUGGGGAAUAUGGCACAAGGGGAGCAAGGCUGAUGCAGCCAGGCCGCGUGUAUGAAGAAGGCCGUCGGGUGGGAAAGGACGUUCAGCUAGGAGGCGUUACUCGCAGAAGAAGCACCGGCUAACUCCGUGCCAGCAGCCGCGGUAAUAC
This 406-nucleotide ribosomal RNA is filed under the name uncultured bacterium. RNAcentral describes it as "partial 16S ribosomal RNA". It matches the Rfam family "Bacterial small subunit ribosomal RNA", at positions 29 to 526 of the family's 1533-position model. The record is from RNAcentral.